UGGGUUCAGGCUCUGUUUAGGAUCGGUAUCGGAAAAACCCAAACGAUACUCAUCCGUACCAGACAUGAGUCUGCACGCUCAACGUGAAGCUACAGCCAGCCGCUGGUUAGCUUAGCAUGGAGACUGGAGACAAGAGGGCUCGAAAGGGAUGUUUAGAAAUCCGCAUUCAACAGUUUACAAAUUUCCGACUUGAUGAAACAAUGGACAAAAAUUGUUCUUUAUUUAUUCUUAAAGUGUUUGCCUUUAAGAUCAAGAUGGGGUCAUAGAAAAAAACAAGUAGAGCAAAGUGUUUUAUGCACCAUGUUAAGUGGAUGAGCUUCAUCAAUACAAAUACACCGUCCACACACACACAUUUUCUCUAAUGGCUCAUUUGCAUAAUGUGGAUACCUUCACUGUAACCAUAGAGACGUUACAUCAUGAUGGAACAUUUCUCCAUGUUCCAUGUUCCAUGUUCUAUGCUCCGUUCACCACAGCAUAAGAAACACAGUCUGUUGCACAUCCAGUCAGUCAGUUUCAAACCUCGCAUCUACACACUGUUUUCCGGACCUACACUUGCAGAAAGCAACCAUGUAAUGCCUCAGGAGUCUGUAGAGGGGACGAAGACGCGUUCUGCUGCACUCAACAGAGCUCAAGACCAACGGGACGCCAUCAGGACGCCACGCCAUCGGGACGCCACGUCAACGGGACGCCAUCAGGACGUCACGUCAACCCCUCAGGAGCAAAUCCAGAUCUACUCAUGACACACACACACACACCCACACACACACACACACACACAUAAAUGUACACACAGACACACUAACAUUUGGUUCUAAACAAAGACACACACUAAUAUUUAGAUGUACACAAAGACACAAUAACCAUUAGAUGUACACACAGACACACUUAACAAUUAGAUCUACACACAGACACACUAACAAUUACAUGUACACACAGACACACUAUCAUUUGGUUCUAAACAAAGACACACACUAAUAUGUAGAUGUACACAAAGACACAAUAACAUUUAGAUGUACACACAGACACACUAACAAUUAGAUCUACACACAGACACACUAACAAUUACAUAUACACACAGACACACUAACAUUUGGUUCUAAACAAAGACAUAAACUAAUAUUUUGAUGUACAGGAAGACAUAUUAAUAUUUAGAUCUACACACAGACACACUAACAAUUAGAUGUACACACAGACACAUCCUGAUGAUCCUCCUCACGUCUCUUCUCCUUGUCUGCAGCCCAACGGGACGCCAUCAGGACGCCAUCAGGACGCCACGUCAUCGGGACGCCAUCAGGAUGCCAUCAGGACGCCACGUCAACCCCUCAGGAGCAAAUCCAGAUCUACUCAUGACAGACACCCACACACACACACACACACACACACACACACACACACAGAUGUACACACAGACACACUAACAUUUGGUUCUAAACAAAGACACACACUAAUAUUUUGAUGUACACAAAGACACAUUCAUAUUUAGAUGUACACACAGGCACACUAACAAUUACAUGAACACACAGACACACUAACAUUUGGUUCCAAACAAAGACACACACUAACAUUUAGAUGUACACAAAGACACACACUAAUAUUUUGAUGUACACGAAGACAUAUUAAUAUUUAGAUCUACACACAGACACACUAACAAUUAGAUGUACACACAGACACAUCCUGAUGAUCCUCCUCACGUCUCUUCUCCUUGUCUGCAGACCAACGGGACGCCAUCAGGACGCCAUCAGGACGCCACGUCAUCGGGACGCUACGUCAUCAGGAUGCCAUCAGGACGCCACGUCAACCCCUACACAUUAAGAUGAACUGCUUCAGGUGUUUUCCCAAUGAUUGUGUUAUUAUUAUUGUUAAUCAUGUCGUCUGUUUAUUAUUUUAACAAUGAAAAUAAAUUUUGAUUAAAAAAAACCCAAAUGAAUCCGUCUUGUUUUCUU
Gasterosteus aculeatus aculeatus (three-spined stickleback) is the source of this 1943-nucleotide long non-coding RNA. NCBI's taxonomy places the organism in Eukaryota, Metazoa, Chordata, Actinopteri, Perciformes, Gasterosteidae. The record is from Ensembl.